UCACAAAGUGUAUUAUAGAUUUUUUUUAAAAAAAAAAAUAGACCUCUUUGUG
RNAcentral lists this transfer RNA (52 nucleotides) under Lissoclinum patella. RNAcentral describes it as "tRNA-Lys". The record is from RNAcentral. Lineage: Eukaryota; Metazoa; Chordata; Ascidiacea; Aplousobranchia; Didemnidae.